GUCGGUCCCAAGGGUUGGGCUGUUCGCCCAUUAAAGCGGCACGCGAGCUGGGUUUAGAACGUCGUGAGACAGUUCGGUCCCUAUCCGCUGCGCGCACAGGAAUCUUGAGAAGAGCUGUCUCUAGUACGAGAGGACCGAGACGGACUGACCUCUGGUGUGCCAGUUGUUCCGCCAGGAGCAUGGCUGGUUGGCUACGUCGGGAUGUGAUAACCGCUGAAAGCAUCUAAGCGGGAAGCACACUUCAAGAUGAGGGUUCCCACAGAUGAAUCUGGUAAGGCCCCCGAGAGACCAUCGGGUUGAUAGGCCGGACGUGGACGCACUGCAAGGUGCGGAGCUGACCGGUACUAAUAGGCCGAGGGCUUGCUACA
Molecule: ribosomal RNA, 368 nt
Filed under: Acidipropionibacterium jensenii
Lineage: Bacteria; Bacillati; Actinomycetota; Actinomycetes; Propionibacteriales; Propionibacteriaceae
Description: partial 23S ribosomal RNA
Rfam family: Bacterial large subunit ribosomal RNA
Source: RNAcentral